RNAcentral lists this non-coding RNA (257 nucleotides) under Bacillus sp. (in: firmicutes). RNAcentral's name for it is "Bacillus sp. T-box sequence". It matches the Rfam family "T-box leader". From Rfam's summary of the family: Uncharged tRNA acts as the effector for transcription antitermination of genes in the T-box leader family. T-boxes are found upstream of many aminoacyl-tRNA synthetase genes and some amino acid biosynthetic genes usually in Gram-positive bacteria. The record is from RNAcentral. Lineage: Bacteria; Bacillati; Bacillota; Bacilli; Caryophanales; Bacillaceae.
GAAAAAGCGAUGAAGAGAAGAGUAGGUAAUGGUAAUCAUUCACAGAGAGCUCCGUAUGGUGAAAAGGAGUAAGGAUUUCAUUACUGAAGCAAGCCUCUGAGCAGCACAUUGGAUCCAUUUAAGUGAUAAUGUGACAGGAGCUCCUGUUAUAGAGCUAUGGUAUAUGUAUGUGUUUCAUACCGUACCUAAUGAGGGUAAAAUGGGAACAUAUUACCAAACUGGGGUGGCACCACGACGCGCAAUAACUCGUCCUCAAG